CGGGUGCUGCCGCUCCCGGCCGCCGCCAUGUUGGGGGGGGGGUCCGGCCGCUGCCCGGGCUGGGCGGGGACCGGCCCCCGGGACCCGGGAGGGUGCGUGGGGUCGAGGCAGGAGCGGCCCUAGGGGUGCUGAGGGGGAUAGGUCCUGAGCCGGGGGCAGGCGGGGGUCCGUGCGCCCCUCCCGAGGGGCCUGGCACCUCCCCGCCGUGCCGUCCGUUGUUGUCGGAAGAAGAAGGUUCAUAGUUACAAAGAGUCCAGGUUUGGAAACCAGUUGGGAGUGACGAACAGCGCAGCAAUCAUUGACUUCACCGAGGGUUCUUGGCUGUUGUUUUGGAUGGAGCUGAGCUUGCUGUGUGGAACACCCCUCUGCUCCCUGCUCUGUGCAGAGCUGGAUAUUAAAGCAGAUCUCUGGGCUCUGUUUGUGAGAAGGAAGUGCUGGGAAGGAGGGAAAGCCCGGCCAGCACACAGGGCGAUGGCAGCAGCAAAUUGAGGUUCGUGCUUUCAGUAAAGUGUCAUUACCAUGAAGACUUCUCAAUCCCUGAUUUUUGGUGGGCUGUUGUUUCUAAAACUGUUUCGGCUUGAUGGUCCUGAGCAGGUUUAUUUCUGCAAAGGAUGGGGCUCAGGCCUCUUUCUUUCCAUCUUCCCAGAGAGGAGAAGGCUGUGACAUUGGAGGUUCUUCUACUUCUUAAACCACAGGAAAGUCUUCAGACAUGUUGGUUUAAAGUGUGAACUGUUGCAAAGAAAACUGAAGACGUUAGCAGGAGAUUGUUUUCUUUUGCAGUGGAGAGGAAAGGCUGGAACUGGUCUUUGAUCCUUCCUGGGCUCAGGGUGAAGGCUUUGCCACAUGCAGCAGGAUUAAGAUCUUAUUUUUAGACUACUGCUUAUCUAAAAUCUGUCCCAAAGAGCUUUGCUGCCUUAGGCUGUAAGUAAUGGCUGUAAAGUGUGUAAUCCAGGGCUAUAGGGGAAGAAGAAAGGAUUUGUACUCAUUGCGAAGCUUUCUGAAGAGGUUGGGGAAAUCCUUGAGGUGACAUGGGCCUAGACAUUUGUCCUGGGGUGUAGCCUUUUGUGUAAACCAAUCCUAAUAAAAUAAUGCCUUUUAAAAA
Long non-coding RNA from Apus apus (common swift), 1102 nucleotides. RefSeq lists it as uncharacterized. The transcript has 4 exons. NCBI's taxonomy places the organism in Eukaryota, Metazoa, Chordata, Aves, Apodiformes, Apodidae. The record is from RefSeq and is a predicted model, not a curated record.